Molecule: long non-coding RNA, 1320 nt
Filed under: Bubo bubo (Eurasian eagle-owl)
Lineage: Eukaryota; Metazoa; Chordata; Aves; Strigiformes; Strigidae
Description: lncRNA (ENSBOBG00000010601.1)
Source: RNAcentral
AUGGAAAUGCUGUUACUCCAGCUGAUUAGCGACAUAGGCUGCCGGCUGCGGGGAUGGGAUGGGAGUCCUGGGGCAGGGGUGGAGAAGGCAUCUGGAAGGCAAAGCCGUUGGAGAAGGCAUCAUCUGGAAGGCAAAGCUGUUGAAGGAGGCAUCUGGAAGGCAGAGCCAUUGGAGAAGGGAUCAUCUGGAAGGCAAAUCCAUUGGAGAAGGGAUCAUCUGGAAGGCAAAGCCAUUGGAGAAGGGAUCAUCUGGAAGGCAAAGCCAUUGGAGAAGGGAUCAUCUGGAAGGCAAAGCCGUUGGAGAAGGGAUCAUCUGGAAGGCAAAGCUGUUGGGCUCUGGUCUUUGCUUCGAGCGUUUGGAUGUCCCCCACCGUGGUUUAGAAAGGGGAAACAAAGGAGAACCAGGGGGUUGGUUUCCAGUGUGUUGCGGAUUAUUGAUAUACCUCAACUAAAGCUCAGCACUUUCACUGGUGGUGGGAGAAAUUCAGACACCCAAGAAGCAGCCGCCCCUGCAGCGGAGCGGAUCCAAAUCUGGCCUCGGCAGCCCGUGACUCAGUGCCCGUGGUCCCGCUCAGCUUCGCCGUGUGCCCGGCAGCGGCCAGCCAAGUCUGGGAACGGGAUUGCCAGAGCUCCAGUGAGCGCAUGCCGAGAGAGGAGGGGGCAGCAGCACCCACGGGUGUGUCCCAUCACUCCCAGGUGCCACCUGGGAGAAGAGGAGCCGGUAACAUGCAGCCUCCGAUGGGAGACGAGCAAACACUGCAACCGGAGGCACCAGCUGAAAAUGAGACGUUUGGGAGCCGACGGAGUUUCAAGCUGAAGGAUACAAUCAGCAAUGUGAGAUGUGACUUUUAAAACUCUCUUCUGACAGAUUCAGCAGCUAUUUGACAUGUGAAAUGACAUGUGAGAUCAAACCACGCCGGUGUUUACCUCGGCAGCCAUCAGUCCUCUGAAACCAGAAGCCAUUUUCUGUGGGUUGUCACAUUCGGGCUGAACGUCUUCACGGGAGGCGUACGGGACUAUUUAUUAUGGCCAUGAAAAUAACAGUUUUGCUUUUGAAUAUUAUCUUCUAAGGAGGAGUGGGAGCUUGAGGGCCCACAGUUAAAGUGUAAUAUUCACUUCACAACAAGCAAACGGAGCGCGUUGCCGCUGUUCCGGAUUUUCCAUCCCGGUUCAUGAGCUGUUAUUUAACAUUCCAAAACCUCAGCGUCACGUGUUAAGGGGGCAAACAAGAGGGGCGGCUUGAAUUUGUUACCUGAGUGUGCUCAGCCGAUCACAAGCCGGAUUUAUUUCUCAUCUGCAACAAUAAAAUUUAAGGCCUGAC